ACGUAGGGGGCAAGCGUUAUCCGGAUUUACUGGGUGUAAAGGGAGCGUAGACGGCAGUGCAAGUCUGAAGUGAAAGCCCGAGGCUCAACCCCGGGACUGCUUUGGAAACUGUGCAGCUAGAGUGUCGGAGAGGCAAGCGGAAUUCCUAGUGUAGCGGUGAAAUGCGUAGAUAUUAGGAGGAACACCAGUGGCGAAGGCGGCUUGCUGGACGAUGACUGACGUUGAGGCUCGAAAGCGUGGGGAGCAAACAG
RNAcentral lists this ribosomal RNA (251 nucleotides) under uncultured bacterium. RNAcentral's name for it is "partial 16S ribosomal RNA". It matches the Rfam family "Bacterial small subunit ribosomal RNA", at positions 525 to 775 of the family's 1533-position model. The record is from RNAcentral.